This is a long non-coding RNA of Lynx canadensis (Canada lynx), 551 nucleotides long. RefSeq lists it as uncharacterized. The record is from RefSeq and is a predicted model, not a curated record. Lineage: Eukaryota; Metazoa; Chordata; Mammalia; Carnivora; Felidae. The transcript has 5 exons.
GUUCUGUGGCCUGUGGAAUGAGAGGGCACAGACCUGGGGCCUGGAGGACAGACGGCAGAACUGCGGGGAUUCAGCCUGGCAGCCUGUGAAGAUGAUUGGUAAACACUGCGUGCAGGACUCUGGGGGCCCAGAGCAAACUCCAGUUGCAAAACCACCACCUGCACCUGUGCACUGGCAACAAAUUGACAGCCCCAGCCCUUCUCUGAAGAUCAGGAAGAUUCUCAGGAAUGGUUGCCCCUUGGACUGGUGGAGGAGCAGGAGUUCUGGGAAGAGAACCGUUCCAGGAGCCUGGCCUGCCCUUGAGAUACAGUGAGUUUUCCUCUGAGGUCUUGUCAUGUCUGGAAAUAUUGAAGCCAUCUUGCCAUCACCUUGAGAAGGAGUUGAAGCCUGAGGAUGGCAGAGCAGAAAGACGAUAAAAUCUUACUUGGAAACUGAAUAUAAAAAUCAAAUGAAAGAGGAACUAUUUCGAUUGAACAUUGGUGACAUUCAGAAACCCAUGUAUGUAUCCCCUCAGUCCUUUGGACUAUUUCCAAAAAUUUUGCAGGGCUUCA